Molecule: ribosomal RNA, 253 nt
Filed under: uncultured bacterium
Lineage: Bacteria
Description: partial 16S ribosomal RNA
Rfam family: Bacterial small subunit ribosomal RNA
Source: RNAcentral
UACGUAGGUCCCGAGCGUUGUCCGGAUUUAUUGGGCGUAAAGGGCUCGUAGGCGGUUCGUCGCGUCCGGUGUGAAAGUCCAUCGCUUAACGGUGGAUCCGCGCCGGGUACGGGCGGGCUUGAGUGCGGUAGGGGAGACUGGAAUUCCCGGUGUAACGGUGGAAUGUGUAGAUAUCGGGAAGAACACUAAUGGCGAAGGCAGGUCUCUGGGCCGUUACUGACGCUGAGGAGCGAAAGCGUGGGGAGCGAACAGG